GUGGAAGCAGAUUGGUGUGGUCGGCCAGGUUUCUGACCAGAGGAAGUUCAUUCAAUGGAAUCCCUAAUUUGACACUCUCCUCCAAAUCACUGUGUCUGAAAAAUUUCUGCCAUUUAAGUUUACGACAGAACAAGUGUAGGUCCUUCACCCAAGAAAAAGAGUUGUACCUGGUAGUUGGUACAAAGGAGGUACCCCUAGUUCAUUGCGUUCAUGGCGUUUCGUAUAUCUUCUGUGCGGUGCGGAGAGAGGAACACAGGCCAGGUGGAAAUCUUUUGGAAAGGGAUACAGAAAUUCAGGUGGUCACAACUUCUUCCGGAGGUGGUUGGUAUAGAGUUCAGCCGGAGGCGCGGUGAUGCUGGUGACCCGCGCUGUGGCAGUUCCUGUGCUUCUUGCUCCACAAAGACUGAUGACCCUGAAGAAUGUUAAAAAUGCUUGUCAAGUACAUUCAAGAAAACAAUCGCCCAGCAUGCUGCUUCCCUCCUGAUGAUCUUGUGUUUAUAAUUGAGCAUUGGUGCCAAUAAAAUACAUAAAUUACCUUUA
Long non-coding RNA from Bufo gargarizans (Asiatic toad), 540 nucleotides. RefSeq lists it as uncharacterized. NCBI's taxonomy places the organism in Eukaryota, Metazoa, Chordata, Amphibia, Anura, Bufonidae. The record is from RefSeq and is a predicted model, not a curated record. The transcript is spliced from 4 exons.